Siniperca chuatsi (mandarin fish) is the source of this 1830-nucleotide long non-coding RNA. RefSeq lists it as uncharacterized. Lineage: Eukaryota; Metazoa; Chordata; Actinopteri; Centrarchiformes; Sinipercidae. The transcript is spliced from 3 exons. The record is from RefSeq and is a predicted model, not a curated record.
AAUGCUAAAAGAGACUUGUUGUCACCUGCAGUGAGCACACAUUUAAAAGGGCAUAGUCAAGUGCAGAGUUGUCUUUCCCUUUUUUGUCUUUUUGAAAUACUUUUGUUUCGUUAAGCUCUUCUGCAACAGCUCCAGUUCCACUGCAACCAGUUGGACUUAACAUUGGACUGUAAAACAGCACCAAGACCUUUUUGUGCCUUCACUGCCUGACCAACCAUACACUGCUGCAGUCACCAGAAAACAAGAACCGGAUGAUGCACUGGUUAACAUGGUGAACUCAUGAACAAGAUUGCAGACCCUUUCUCCAUGGUGGAAAAUGUAGGAUUUAUGAAAUUCCUUAAUAAAUUGGACCCCAAAUACGUGCAUCCAACAAGGCAGGCUUUGAAGGCCAUGACUGAAAAGAAGUAUUAGGACAGUGAGGAAAAAGCCAAGUCUGAUGAGGCAAGGCCAUAAGCUGAACUCCAGUGGAACACCACCAUGGUCAUAAAAACAGCGGACAAGGGGAGCGCGGUGGUAAACAUGAACAGGAAUCAAUACGUCCAGGAUGCAAUGAGACAACUCAAUGACACAAGCUAUUACAUCCCACUGGAUGCUCCAAUAUACAUGGAAACAGAGGCACAGAUGGAGGAAAUCCUGAAUGCAAUGGUCCGGAACCGCAAUAUCACAAAAGCACAAAGGACAUACCUGUUGAGGCGGGACAGAAGGAAGAGAUACUUCUGUCUCCUACCAAAGGUCCACAAAACGCCUUACACUUGUCUGUCCCGUUUCAAAUGCCACCAAGAAGGCAGAUAGUAUCGGACUGUAGCAGCGAGCGCUAUCAAAUAGCGGAGUUCCUGGAUUAUCACCUGAAGCCGCUCUUUACCUGGCAUGAAAGCUAUAUCAAGAACACCCAUGACUUCCUGGAAAAAAAUCAGAGGCAUGAGACUACAGGAACCCUGUCUAAUGUUUUCAAUGGACGUUGAAAGUCUUUACACAAACACUGACCGCCGGAUGGGACUGGCGGUGGUAAGAACCCUCAUGGAAAAACAUCCAGACUCAUCCUGGCCAGAAUAGGAAAUCCUCAAGCUCCUUCAUCUUAGUUUGACUAGGAAUGACUUUGAGAUCAACGGAAAACACUACCUGCAAGUCAAGGGAACGGCGAUGAGCAAACAAUUUGCCUCAGCCUAUGCCAACAUCUACAUGACUACGUGGUAGGGGACAGUCUUCCCCAAACUUCCAUUGCAUUACUUUUGAUACCUGGAUGACGUCUGGGGCAACUGGCCCUACAUGGAGGAGGACUUCAAUGAAUUUGGCAGAACCCUGAACUCCUACCACCCAUCUAUUAAAGUCAAAUCAAUAAUCAAGCAUUCAGAGAUCGACUUCCUGGAUGUCACAACUUUCAAGGGCCCGGACUUUGCAUCCACUGGACAACUGGACACAGAGUUUUCUUAAAACCCACCGACACACACACCCUCCUACACUAUUCUAGCUGAAAUCCUGAAAUCACAACUCAUCUGGUUUCAGAGAAUCUGUUCCAGGACUUUACUGUGUACAAACAUUCCCCUUCCUUUUCUUAUUUAUGGAGCGCUUACAGAUUUCUGUGAACCAGCACACCAGAACACACAAGGUGCUUCAGAUCCCCCACAGGGUAGUCUUUUACAUAUCGCUAAAGCUGUUUGCUCCCACUCUGCCAGGUAUGUCUGCAUAGGUAGAGUCUUUUCUCCUCAUUGUACAACCACUCAACUGCAAGUAAUGUUUACCAUUAAACUCAAUAUUGUUUCUGGUUAAAGUGAUUCUGAGUAAUUGGAGAAUUGCCUUGUUCGGGCGCUCAUGUAUCAGAUGUUGAUGAAA